This is a long non-coding RNA of Micropterus dolomieu (smallmouth bass), 637 nucleotides long. RefSeq lists it as uncharacterized. The transcript is spliced from 2 exons. NCBI's taxonomy places the organism in Eukaryota, Metazoa, Chordata, Actinopteri, Centrarchiformes, Centrarchidae. The record is from RefSeq and is a predicted model, not a curated record.
CUCCGGGUGCUCCGGCUUCCCCUACAUCAUAAAACAUAUUUAUAAUAUAGAUUCUAAAUUUGCCUAAAAAAAACAAACAAUACCUAAAAGCAGGGCAGCACAGUGGUGCAGUGGUUGGCACUGUCACCUCAGAGCAAGAAGGUCCAGGGUUCAAACCUUGGUCGUCUGCGUUUCUGUGUGGAGUUUGUAUGUUUCUCCCCGUGUCUGCGUAGGUUCUCUCCGGGUGCUCCGGCUUCCCCUACAUCAUAAAACAUAUUUAUAAUAUAGAUUCUAAAUUUGCCUAAAAAAAACAAACAGUACCUAAAAGCAGGGCAGCACGGUGGUGCAGUGGUUGGCACUGUCACCUCAGAGCAAGAAGGUCCAGGGUUCAAACCUUGGUCGUCUGCAUUUCUGUGUGGAGUUGUAUGUUUCUCUCCUGGUGCUCCGGCUUCCCCCCCACCGUCCAAAGACAUGCAGGUUAAUUGGUGACUCUAAAUUGUGCUUACAUGUGAGUGGAUGUUUGUUUCUAUGUGCCCUGUUAUGCUGUUCAAUUUUCUCCCCUCUUCUCCACCUCUCCAGGUGUUCCAUUUUCCUCCUUAUAUAAUAUGUACAUUCGAAAAUGACCUAAAAAAAUAAAAAAUAAAAUAAAAAAAUUUGA